Long non-coding RNA from Sinocyclocheilus grahami, 1805 nucleotides. The record is from Ensembl. NCBI's taxonomy places the organism in Eukaryota, Metazoa, Chordata, Actinopteri, Cypriniformes, Cyprinidae.
CGAGUUGAUCCAGCAUUCUUUUGACCGAGGUGAUGCAGAGACAGAGCUUGGCUCGAUCAGGACGACGUCUCGGCCAAACCCCCACCGUGCCUCCCCAGCCCGCCCACAGCCGAUCAAUAUGACUGGAGUUGGAGAUACAGGUGACCUAGUUACCAUGGCACCUCAGAGGAGACUCGCUGCAAAUUACAGUGGACCGAGAAAUCUGACGCAUAGAUGGCAUGCCACUGGUUGUGAAGAUCAUUGUUGGUCAUUGAUAAAAGCAUCCUGUGGAUAUAAAUGCUUGUGGGAGAAAGACCGAGAAAGAUGAAUUGCUGAGAUGGAGCGAGAUGGAUUGCAGAAGAUGAAGAAAUGUAAACGGAGGGAGAAAAUGACAGAGUGCCGCUGGUCCCGCUCUCUCAGGCUGGAGGUUAAAGAUCAUUUGAAAUGUUUAAAUGGCUGCUAAAAGACAGUGGGACUGCGAGAGAAGAGGCAUAACAAAGCAAUACAUUAUAAGACGGGGCCAUCUCAUAAGGAAAAUGUUGCUGUUGUGACUUUUAUCUGUUCAUCAUCUGACCGUCAGUCUGAUGACAUUCUCACAUUGGUUCAAAGGACACAGGCAAAGCAUCCAGAGUCUCUGAACGUUAUCGUGUAUGAAUGACGGAAAACAGGGAAAUGGCUUCAACUGUAAUGUGUUUUAUGAUAUUUAUUGUAAAACUAUAGUUAUAAUAUUAUUUUUUAUUUAAAAGAUCAGUUCCAAAUUUCAGAAGAAGAAAAAUCUUCAUCAAUUUAGCUGAUAUUAGAGUGAAUAAAUAAAUUAUUUCCAGCCCUAAAAGUUGUGAAAAGAGCUGAAAAGACCUGAACAAGAUAAUCUACUUGCAUUACAUAACUAAACAAUCCAUUAGUAUCGGAUUGGUUGCUCAGUUGGACCAAAAAGAAAACAUAAGAAAAUUGAGCUUCAUCCAAAAGAAAUUUGGAUCAGUUUGGAAGGGAUGUUGUAGACCCGAAGUAAUUAAUAGGAAAAAAUUAGGCAUGUGAACGCUAGCUUGAUUCCAUUUAUUUUCUAAGCUGGAUUCAAAAAUACCUUUGGCACGUACACAUUUAUAAGGUCAAAACCUUUGGACAAACUGUUAGAUCUAAAACGCAUGGUUACUAUAUUUUGGUUUAGUUUGGGUUUUGGUUUGGUUACUUGGCCCAGAUAAGCAGCAGCCAACAAUUCCCAACCCACAUUGAACUCCUCCGUUACUGUUCAACAAGCAAAAUGAAAUUAGUUGACAGAAUGUCCAGAGUGUGCAAAACUGUAAUCUAGACUAAGGGUGACUAUUUUCAUAAGUCAAAGAAUGAGUAGGUGUGUCCAAACUUCCUUUGAUUGGUACUGUUUGUGUGCAUACCAUUUUAUGUGUAUGGAAUAGUGUGUUUGUGUAUACACACGUAAGCACAUAUUUACACUGACCCACAAAAAGAAAGACACAGAAGCACUACACAGUUAACAGCUGGUUGUGCCAUUCAUUGAGCUCUCUUACAUUAACAAGAGAUGAAAUCCUAUCAAUGAAUUUUUUUGUCUUUUGUCAUUCAGAGUUUUAAAUAGAGGCUCUUUCAUGGAAGUGAAAGCACUCUCCCUGUACAGGUGAAGACAGAUGCCAUAAAUUCCCUUCCUGUCUUUGUCUGUCUGCACAUUCAAUAUCACUCUUGUGUGACAUUCAGGUGGUGUCAUAGUUCCACACAUAAUGUAAUGUCACCUUUGUUGGCUAAUGAGGUCAUUUGAUUACUACAAACAAAGCCAGUAGUUACAGCAAUUCACUGUUGCAAAGUAAUGUUUGUGAAGUUUC